Ipomoea triloba (trilobed morning glory) is the source of this 1491-nucleotide long non-coding RNA. RefSeq lists it as uncharacterized. The transcript is spliced from 4 exons. The record is from RefSeq and is a predicted model, not a curated record. Lineage: Eukaryota; Viridiplantae; Streptophyta; Magnoliopsida; Solanales; Convolvulaceae.
AGCGGCUAAGUACAAGUGAUGUGAACCAUUCAUCAAGGCUGUUGCUGCCCAAAGAGGAAAUCACAAAAUACGUCUUACCUCUCAUGGAUAUGGAGAGCUGUAGAGCUUCUCAAAACAGGGAUGCAACUAAUGAAAGGAUGUCCAAGAGGAAGACUAAAACUACGUGACUACAUCUGCAUUUCAAGAUCCUAAUAUUUAGGACAUAUAUGCAAUUUACUCAUUUUCUCGAUUUUAAUUACAGUCUCUGUUGUUAGAGUAGUUAGAGCCAAAUAAAUAGUAAAUUUAUUAGGGAGUGAUUAAAAUGUAAUAAGCUAUAAAUUCCUUUGUUAAUACAAGAGAGGGCAUUAUCUUGAAUUCCAAUACUUUAUCUGUCUGAACUCAAGUCCAUGUCCCCUUCUUUUUCUAUUUUGGAGGUUGUCCAUCCUCUAAAGUGCACAACAAAAUACUUUGAAGAAAACUCAUCACAACAAUUUGGUGUUUUCAUUGACAGAAUGGAUGGCCACUGAAGAGAUACAAACUAGGCAACGGGCUCUCGAAGAGCAACUCCAUCAAAUGCGUGUUGCUUCUCAUGGAUAUGGAGAGCUGUAGAGCUUGUCAAAACAAGGAUGGGUUGAGAGUCAAAAUAUGGGAUUUGGAUACUGAAUCAGAGCAUGAACUGAUUAUUAAUGAGGCUUUAUGUGUGGGAGUAAAUGAGUCUUUUCAUUAUAUGACCUUGUUCUUCCUCCGUUUUGGUGUAUCACAACCAUAAAUCAGGACGAAGCUGUAUCUAUAUCUUUUGAUCUGCCAGCUGUACUUGAUAAUGUCUUAUCACUUUCAUCUGGAAGAUCUCAUGAAAAAGGGAUUGAGUUGGCUAUUUAUAUCUCUGAUCAGGCCCCACAAAUGGUUGUUGGAGAUCCCGAAAUUAAAGCUUCAGGCAAAUAAUCUUGAAUCUUGUUGGAAACUCAAUCAAGUUCUCAAAAAACAAUGAGGGGCAUGUGUUUGUCACGGAUCAUUUAGCAGAUGAAGUGAGGUGCCCGCUUGAUGUGAAGGAUGAAGUCUUCAGACAGAGCUUAUCCCUCGUUGUUCAAAACUAGACAAACAGAUCUUUCAACACAUUGAGCGGGUUUCCGGUAGUUGACAGAUGGAGAAGUUUUGCAAAAUUAUAAGAAGCUUAGCGAGGAAGAAAGUGGCAAGAUCAAAUUAUAAUGAAUUGGUGCCUAGGCGCCGGUGUAUAUCUGAAUAUUUCAGUGAAGAGCAUCGGAAUUGAAGAGCUGCCAGAGGAGCCGAUUCCAUCCUAUUCUCCACCUCUUGACCAGUUAAAUGUCUACAUUAAUAUUAAAGUUCAGUGAUUACGUCUAAUGAUUAUAGGGAACAUAAUUUCCGUAACUGACACUAAUUACGUCUCAUCAUUGAGAUCAAGGGUCUUCUGCAAUUAAUCCAUAGCUAUCGCCUUAAAGUGUGUAAUUGACUGUCUCCUUGAGUGAAUGCUAGGAACAACCACCUUGACUGGCA